AGAAUCAACGCUGGCGGCGUGCCUAACACAUGCAAGUCGAACGAGAAAGUGGGAGCAAUCCCACGAGUAAAGUGGCGCACGGGUGAGUAACACGUGACUAACCUACCCUUGAGUGGGGGAUAACCUAGGGAAACCUGGGCUAAUACCGCAUAAUACCUACGGGUCAAAGGAGCAAUUCGCUUUAGGAGGGGGUCGCGGCAGAUUAGUUAGUUGGCGGGGUAAUGGCCCACCAAGACAGUGAUCUGUAUCCGGCCUGAGAGGGCGCACGGACACACUGGAACUGAAACACGGUCCAGACUCCUACGGGAGGCAGCAGUGGGGAAUUUGCGCAAUGGGGGAAACCCUGACGCAGCAACGCCGCGUGGAGGAUGACAGUCUUCGGAUUGUAAACUGCUUUUCUCGGGGACGAGUAAGGACGGUACCCGAGGAAGAAGCCCCGGCUAACUACGCGCCAGCAGCCGC
This 462-nucleotide ribosomal RNA is filed under the name uncultured bacterium. RNAcentral describes it as "SSU rRNA". It matches the Rfam family "Bacterial small subunit ribosomal RNA", at positions 26 to 518 of the family's 1533-position model. The record is from RNAcentral.